CAUGAGCUACUUGAAUAUACAGAACAGAUCAAGGUCUCUCUUGAAACUUGCUGAGGGUGCACUCAAUCCCAUGGUCCAUAUUGCUGACCCAAUAUUGACCCCUGAGGGACACCACUCAUCAUUCUUCUCCACCUGGACAUUGAGCUGUUGACCACAACUCUUUCAGGGAGACCAUCCAGCCAAUUCCUUAUUUUUUUGAUCCAUCUGUCAAAUCCACAUCCCUACAGUUUAGAGACGAGGUUUACAAGGCUCCUCACUGAAGGACAGGAAGAACACAGUUUUUUUCUUAUUUUACUUUCCAAAACUCAACUGGAAUCAGAAAUUAGAAGUCUCAUCUUGCAACAUAAAGGACCAAGGCAACAGACAAAUUGGCCUUUCUCCACUGAUAUAAUGAGAGAAAAUGAAGAAGAAGAUGGAAGCAGAAGCAGCAAGUAGACAAGCAGAUGUAGAUGUGCACUUGGAUACCAGACCUCUGGAUAGCAAAGGAGCAUACAGUACCCAGCACCUUGAAGAUAAACAGCUCAGAAAACACUAUCAGGAAAGCACUGCACUGUGUUAUAUCAGAUCACAAGAUAAUGCUCUCACAAAGGGAUGCCCAGGAGUUCAACUCUGUGUCACCUCCUGUUCAGGCACCAGCAGAAGAAGCGAGCUGGGCAACCUUCAAAUUUUCCGUACAUCAGUACUACUGAGUCUUGGGAACAGAACCAAAUCACUUCUGCAUUUGAAGCUAGUUUUGCCUUUGCAACUGACUGUAAAACCCCAACCAAACAGAAACACAAUGGUGAUGAAGCCUGGUAAGCAGCGGGUGCCAACAAUGCCAGACUGGGAAUGAUGAAGUCAAGCGGUUCGGCCACUUAUAGUUUCACAACGGAUGGGGAUGUUCCAGGAACAAAUAGAUGCUCGAGGUUCACAAUGGCUUAUUCAGCAUUCACAUACACUGAAUAAAGAGACUCGAAAAAAGAAACACACACAACCACAAAAGCCAAGCUGGUUGAAGCACUGAUUUGGGGUAAUUGUUGUCGAGAGAUGAAUGUGACGACUCGAUGGGUAUGAAAAGCUGGACCCAGAUGGCAGUAGGUAAGAAAAGAUCGUAGCAAUCAACUCUGCAGCAUAGCUGUCAGCAAUACAAGGACAGAUCAUUCCGUUAAUAUCAGGAGAAUGGAAGAGGAUCUUUUCGUUGCUGUGGGAAGAUCAAGGUAUUAAAAUUACAUACGUACAUACGUCAAGAAGUGAAGACCAAUUGCAGGACAGAUACAGGAACCUUUAAGCAGCUCCUUUUAGGAUUGUAUGUAUGACUUCAGAAUGUUUGAUCCAAGAAAGCCUGGCAAAUGUUUAAGACCUUCUA
Manacus vitellinus (golden-collared manakin) is the source of this 1345-nucleotide long non-coding RNA. RefSeq lists it as uncharacterized. The record is from RefSeq and is a predicted model, not a curated record. NCBI's taxonomy places the organism in Eukaryota, Metazoa, Chordata, Aves, Passeriformes, Pipridae. The transcript has 3 exons.